This 1170-nucleotide long non-coding RNA is filed under the name Ananas comosus (pineapple). Its description in RNAcentral is "long non-coding RNA (ACOM_LNC001474)". The record is from RNAcentral. Lineage: Eukaryota; Viridiplantae; Streptophyta; Magnoliopsida; Poales; Bromeliaceae.
AUAUUUUUUUUGGGGAAACUUCAAAAUACCCGUCCACUUAUUUCGCACUUUCUCACUUUAGUACACUAUGGUUUAAAGUGUAUCAAGUUAGUACCAUAUGGUUUCAAGUGUAUCAAAUUAGUACCCUAUGGUUUUGCACUUUCUCACUUUAGUACCCUGUGAUUCAAGUGUAUCAAGUUACAGUUAAUUUAUUGUACACUAGCUAUUAUAGCAAUUAUAAAUUAAGAUAAAGUUUAAUUUGCCUCUUCGUAGUUUAGCUUAUUUUUAUUUUGCCAUCCUGUAAUUCAAAAAGUUACAGUUAAUUAUUCUACAGUAACAAAAAAAAUUUUACUUCACUAUCCUAAUUGAUAGUAGAUUUUAUAGGUAAAAAUAGAUAUAAAAUCAGAGGAUUAUUAAAUAUAACUUUUUAAACUACGAGGUCACAAAGUAAAAAUGAGUUAAAUUACAUGAGAAAAAUUAAAAUUUAUCCUAAAAAGUAUUAAUUUUUAAACCACUUAAAUAAGAGACAAAUAAUAUAAAAAACUAGUAAAAUUUAGAGAGUUCAAAUAGCCCAAAUUAUAUUUACCAAACUAAUAAAAUUUAGAGAGUUCAAAUAGCCCAAAUUAUAUUUACCGGCGUUGAUCGUCAAUUCUUAUAUAUAUAUAUAUAUAUAUAGCUAGGCUGCUAUACUAUCGGUAGCACGGACGCCUCCGUGCUAUCAAGUUAUUUUCAAUAAUGCCGCUUCCAAAUCGACGAUUGGUUCCAUUAGACUUGAUCUACAAUAUUGAAAGUAUUUGGAAACUAAAUUUUAUAAUUUUUCGGUAUCAUUUAUCUAUCAAAUGAAUAGUCUAAAAAUGAACGGUUGAAAAUAAAAAUCUCAUAAAAAAUGAUGAUAGAAGACUUGAAUUUAAGAUCCGAAAUACUGAUCUUACUCUAAAUAGUAAAAAGAAUUUUCUAUAAAAUUUCAUCUGAUUUGAAUUGUUUUACACCGUUAAAUUUACAAAUACAUCACAUCUAUCAUUAAAAUUGUCAAUUUUGAGAUCUUUUUAUCACUAGCCAAAUGAUGUAAACAAAUUCUGAAAUUUAGUUUCCAAAUACUUUCAAUAGUAUAGAAAAAAAUGGAGCCGAUCGUCGAUUUGGAAGUCGCAUCAUCGAAAACAACUUGGUAGCACAGAAACCUCCAUGCUACCG